GAUGAACGCUGGCGGCGUGCCUAAUACAUGCAAGUCGAGCGAACAGACGAGGAGCUUGCUCCUCUGACGUUAGCGGCGGACGGGCGAGUAACACGUGGAUAACCUACCUAUAAGACUGGGAUAACUUCGGGAAACCGGAGCUAAUACCGGAUAAUAUAUUGAACCGCAUGGUUCAAUAGUGAAAGACGGUUUUGCUGUCACUUAUAGAUGGAUCCGCGCCGCAUUAGCUAGUUGGUAAGGUAACAGCUUACCAAGGCAACGAUGCGUAGCCGACCUGAGAGGGUGAUCGGCCACACUGGAACUGAGACACGGUCCAGACUCCUACGGGAGGCAGCAGUAGGGAAUCUUCCGCAAUGGGCGAAAGCCUGACGGAGCAACGCCGCGUGAGUGAUGAAGGUCUUCGGAUCGUAAAACUCUGUUAUUAGGGAAGAACAAAUGUGUAAGUAACUAUGCACGUCUUGACGGUACCUAAUCAGAAAGCCACGGCUAACUACGUG
Molecule: ribosomal RNA, 497 nt
Filed under: uncultured bacterium
Lineage: Bacteria
Description: partial 16S ribosomal RNA
Rfam family: Bacterial small subunit ribosomal RNA
Source: RNAcentral